ACCUUCUCUAUGUUCACUUUAAGAGGAAGUUCUAAAAAUUGAGGUGCUCACUCCCUCUCUCUCCUUUUUGAUGACUGUGAUAGACUUGCCAAAGCAGUAUAACUUCAUUGUCUGGAAUUUGGUUAAUUCCAAUGCAAAUACAAAAAUCAAAUACUUGAACAGAGCUUUGAAAAUAUUUUCAUUUUUGAGGAUUUUCAUUGUUAUGGGCUUGAGCCUGUAGAAGUCUCUGUGUAAGCUACAUAGAGCAAAUCUAAUCUAUUCACACUGAAGUCAGGGCUCUAUAAAAGACUGUGGGAACAUUCAUCCUCCACUCUCUCAGAGACUCUUUUAGGUGGCACUGGCUGAGGCAGAAUGAAUACAGCUGCUGAUUCUGAUCUCACACUGGGUAUAUCCCUGAAUGCUGGAAAAAACAUCACCCUUAGAAGUGUGCGUUCAGCCAGCUGCCUUUGGAGAGAGCUGGGAAGGGUGCAAAGUGGCAUGUCCUUUACCAGUCACUCUUUCUGGGCCAAUGCUCAUCCAGAAAUGAGACAGAACUAUGGGUUUACUGCAAAUGACCAGCAUCAGCAAAGCAACCAAGACUACCAACUUUGGGUAAUGUGUCCCACAUCUCAGAUGUCAGCUGAUAUAAAACAUUACAGUAAAGAAUUAUGAGUGUUCACUCUGCAAUGAAAAAAUGAAGCAGCAGAAGGUGAAUGUGAAAGAAUAAGAAAAGCCCUGCAGAAAACCCGUUAGCCCAUGUUUUCAACUGUAAUGUGGAUGUGGGAUGGGAAGAGGGACAAUGACAUAGUACCGACCAGGUUCCAGAAACUAUUCCAAGUGCUUUACAUGAUAAAAAUCUCUUAAUUGUCUCGGAGAGGCUGAGGCAGGAGAAUGGCGUGAACCCGGGAGGCGGAGCUUGCAGUGAGCCGAGAUUGUGCCACUGCACUCCAGCCUGGGCGACAGAGCGAGACUCCGUCUCAAAAAAAAAAAAAAACUCUUAAUUGUCUCAAUGACCAUACGAAGUAUAUCUCUAGUGUUGCCCCUAUUUAAUACAUGACAAAACCUUACUGAUAUCUGUAUAGCUAGUAAGUAGGAGAGACAGGAUUCAAUCUGUCAGCCCAACUCUGGCGGUGCCCGUGUCCCCGCUCUGUGAUCCUGCCAGGCAGCCACAGCCAGGAGUCCUUGUUUUAGAUAUUCCCCAUGUCUGCUGCUGAACUAGACCCUAACGGUGGAUUCUUGAUACAUCCUUACCCAAGGAUAACCCAUAAGUUUUCAUGACAUUACCACGGACUCGUCUUGCUUGUGAAACCAAGUAAUAGUACAAACAGAAGAAUCAUGUGUUAAGAAUUUUUUGAAGUAAAUGAUUCUGUCAUCAUUAUUCUUAAAGAAAGUGAUGUGCCCAAGGUCACACACUUAGUCACUGGUCAGUCCUGGGGCAAACACCCCUUGAUGUCCAGCCCUUGAGUCAGGAUGAUUGCCUCAUCUAGAAGGCACCAUGGGCACUCUGCCUGAAUCCAGGAACCUCUGGAGUUGUAUAUGGCUCUGUCCAAGACAAAGGGAUCCGCUGUACAAGAUCCACAGAAGCCCUGGCUCUAAAUUAAAAACAGCACAACAACAACAUUGCAGCAACAACAAAAUAGUAAUAAAAUAAAAGGUGGGAAGACCUCGAGAGCAUAAAAAUUUCCUUAAACUGAUCAUCAAGGAAAGGAAAGGGAGGGUUCCUUCUUUAAAGAGGCAAGUGCCCAGCAGGAACCUAAAACUCAUUACUAUUCUGUAUUUUCUUUUUUCAUGACUAAAAAGUUUUUCUAUCCUCCCCCUUCCUAUCCCUAUCAAAAGACUACCCCCUCCGCAAGACAAUCACAAACUUUAAAAGUAGCAAGCCCUCACUUCAAACAAAAUGUAAAAAUAAAAAUUCAAAAACCCA
This is a long non-coding RNA of Symphalangus syndactylus (siamang), 1903 nucleotides long. RefSeq lists it as uncharacterized. The record is from RefSeq and is a predicted model, not a curated record. Lineage: Eukaryota; Metazoa; Chordata; Mammalia; Primates; Hylobatidae.